This 76-nucleotide transfer RNA is filed under the name Staphylococcus aureus. Its description in RNAcentral is "tRNA-Asn(gtt)". Lineage: Bacteria; Bacillati; Bacillota; Bacilli; Caryophanales; Staphylococcaceae. The record is from RNAcentral.
UCCAUAGCGAUGUGUUCUGGCAAACAANCGGCUGUUAACCGAUCGGUCGUAGGUUCGAGUCCUACCUGUGGAGCCA